This 479-nucleotide ribosomal RNA is filed under the name uncultured bacterium. Its description in RNAcentral is "SSU rRNA". It matches the Rfam family "Bacterial small subunit ribosomal RNA", at positions 26 to 518 of the family's 1533-position model. The record is from RNAcentral.
AGGACGAACGCUGGCGGCGCGCUUAACACAUGCAAGUCGAGCGAGAACCGGUCCUUCGGGACUGGGGACAGCGGCGAACGGGUGAGUAACACGUGGGUAAUCAACCCCUGGCACCGGGAUAGCCCGAGGAAACUCGGAUUAAUACCGGAUGGCCCAACAGCUCUUCGGGGCGGUUGGAAAGGUAGCUUCGGCCUCCGGCCAAGGACGAGCCCGCGGCGGAUUAGCUUGUUGGUGGGGUAAUGGCCUACCAAGGCGACGAUCCGUAGCUGGUCUGAGAGGACGAUCAGCCACACUGGAACUGAGACACGGUCCAGACUCCUACGGGAGGCAGCAGUGGGGAAUCUUGGACAAUGGGCGCAAGCCUGAUCCAGCCAUGCCGCGUGAGUGAAGAAGGCCUUCGGGUUGUAAAGCUCUUUUGUCAGGGACGAUAAUGACGGUACCUGAAGAAUAAGCCCGGCAAACUUCGUGCCAGCAGCCGC